Small nuclear RNA from Panthera leo (lion), 184 nucleotides. Its record names the gene U2. It matches the Rfam family "U2 spliceosomal RNA". From Rfam's summary of the family: U2 is a small nuclear RNA (snRNA) component of the spliceosome (involved in pre-mRNA splicing). Complementary binding between U2 snRNA (in an area lying towards the 5' end but 3' to hairpin I) and the branchpoint sequence (BPS) of the intron results the bulging out of an unpaired adenosine, on the BPS, which initiates a nucleophilic attack at the intronic 5' splice site, thus starting the first of two transesterification reactions that mediate splicing. Lineage: Eukaryota; Metazoa; Chordata; Mammalia; Carnivora; Felidae. The record is from Ensembl.
AUCGCUUCUCGGCCUUUUGGCUAAGAUCAAGUGUAGGAUUUUGAUGGUUUCCUGUCUCACAGUUAGGUCUUUCAUUCAUGUUGAAUUUACUUUUCUGUAUGGUAUAAGAAAGUGGUCCAGUUUCAUUCUUCUGCAUAUCGCUGUCCAGUUUUCCCAGCACCAUGUGCUGAAGAGACUGUCUUUU